GAUGCUACCAAAAAUCGUACCUGUAGAUUUCCCGAGCUUGAUGACUGGUGAGGAGCACGAACGUGAUCUUCCGAUACCUGAAACAAAGGCAACGAGGUGUGUUCUCGUCGCCCCUCCGAUGCUUAAGUCAGAAAGAGAAAUAUAUGCGUGAGGCUAUGUGCUGAAGAACAAUGUCAAACGUACCUGAAUAAUGGCCCAAGGUUCUGCUUUUAUAGGAGUAGGUAGUGUACUCCUAGUAGGAUUGUGUUGGUUGGAUGUUUUUAUCCAAGGGAAUUUAUAUUAUAAAGAAUGUCCUACUUGUAAUGGAAUUGUUUGACAAGUGGUGUUAGGGUUGAUGUAGAAUCCUUGGGUGUUUAGGUUUGUUAGUUAGGUACCCAGGUCUUAGGAGGUAUGUUGGUGGUGUAUGUCUCGAGGACUAUUCUCGAGGACAUUGAGGGAAUGUAAAUGUGUCCUCGAGGUAUCUCGAGGACUACAAUAUCUCGAGGACUUAGAUGACCUCGAGGAC
RNAcentral lists this long non-coding RNA (505 nucleotides) under Olea europaea (common olive). RNAcentral's name for it is "long non-coding RNA (OEUR_LNC000582)". The record is from RNAcentral. Lineage: Eukaryota; Viridiplantae; Streptophyta; Magnoliopsida; Lamiales; Oleaceae.